Long non-coding RNA from Xiphias gladius (swordfish), 1131 nucleotides. RefSeq lists it as uncharacterized. Lineage: Eukaryota; Metazoa; Chordata; Actinopteri; Istiophoriformes; Xiphiidae. The transcript has 2 exons. The record is from RefSeq and is a predicted model, not a curated record.
ACAACCAGCUUUUAUUUAUGGAGAAUGUAUCCCCCAAGAAUUAUUAGCCUAUCCUGUCAAACAUUAGACGUUCACGCAUCCCACACUUUGCCUUUAUCGUCGGACCGUAGUUUUCAACAUGACAUUCGUUUGGGGAAAGAAAAAAUAUUUAUUUUCACGGCUAUAAUUGAAUGACCAGCAGUGGCACACGCCAGGCCACGGGGACGGAGUAGGUUAAAACUGCUGUGACAUACAGGUUGGAAGUUCCUUCUGUGAGCGCCCAAGAAGAAGCCCCGAACUUCACACUAGUGUGGAAGUAACUGCACGAGCAGCUGAGAGCCCGCGCGGCGACUGCUGCCGAUGCAGGCUGACGAAGCCUCGGUGCCCGGCUCAAGUGCAACUGCAGGGUGAGAUGCGACACAUUCAUUCUCUGGUGUGAACUACAGGAAGGCUGAAUGAGCUGAAAUUGCUUUGAAAACGGAUUACCUCAUAGGCGUCGACCAGCGAAUCGCCAUCGGACCAUGCACUUUCAUCUGCAAGUCAAGAAAAGAGGACAGAUGUGCUGUCACAUUAUCACAGUUCACCUUGAAGACCGAGCCGACUUGAUAGAACUAUAGUGACUGAUCAACUUUCUUACAGCUUUUGUCUCCAUCUUGUGGUUCGUCAAUGUAACUUCAGAGAAACACAGUAGUUUAGGCUUGUUUUGAGCUAUUUUUGACUUAUUAUGGACAUCUAAGGAAAUUAAGUAUCAAAAUAUACACACUCUUACAGUUGCCUUCAGAUCAAAAUAGAAAAAAAUGCGACAGCAGAUCCCAAUUUAAUUUACUGUUGGGUAUGUCCAGUAAAACACCAAAGCCCUAAAUACAACCUUAAAGUGUAGAAUAGAUUCAGAGAAACUCAAAACACUUUAAUUUUGAUAAAAGUAUUUUUUUUUAUUGUGUAUAAAAAUACUAGUAGUUUUGUCUUGUGUAUCUCAGCCUCCGUAUGCUGCAGAAAGAGAGGACUGAGGAGCAGUUAUGACGUGCUGAAAAAUGGUUAACAGAUAUUGGUCAGAAAAGGCAUGUCAAAUAAACAACCAAAAGACAGUGUCCCACCUGAGGCUCAAGAGGGGAAAAAAAAAAAAAAACCUGAUCGAUUUCAGUGCAAAAAUAA